This 253-nucleotide ribosomal RNA is filed under the name uncultured bacterium. Its description in RNAcentral is "partial 16S ribosomal RNA". It matches the Rfam family "Bacterial small subunit ribosomal RNA", at positions 524 to 776 of the family's 1533-position model. The record is from RNAcentral.
UACGUAGGUGGCAAGCGUUGUUCGGAAUUAUUGGGCGUAAAGGGCGCGUAGGCGGUUCCGCAAGUCCUGUGUGAAAUCUUCGGGCUCAACUCGAAGUCUGCACGGGAAACUGCGGGGCUUGAGUGUGGGAGAGGUGAGUGGAAUUCCCGGUGUAGCGGUGAAAUGCGUAAAUAUUGGGAAGAACACCGGUGGCGAAGGCGGCUCACCGGCUCAUUACUGACGCUCAUGCGCGACAGCGUGGGGAUCAAACAGG